Molecule: long non-coding RNA, 607 nt
Organism: Chionomys nivalis (European snow vole)
Lineage: Eukaryota; Metazoa; Chordata; Mammalia; Rodentia; Cricetidae
Exons: 3
Source: RefSeq, a predicted model, not a curated record
GGCUAAAGUUAGCUUCUCUGGAAAAAGGACGUUAACAAGGGAGCAGCCAUUUGGUUCUGUGCAGAGAGCACCUGGAAGCCGGAGACAUCAGAGCCCCUGGAGCUGGAGUUAGAAGCAUUUGGGAGCCACCUGACAAGUGCUGAAAACCAAGCAUGGGUCCCCUGGAAGAGCAGUAAAUGCUCUUAACUGCUGAGUCAUCCCCCCAUCCCCAAGACUCUGGCUUCAAUUGGGAAACGGUGAGGAGACUGUGGAUGGCUGGCAAAGCACAAGUUCCUAAAGCCAAAUGGAGAACACAUCACAAGCCCAGUGGAGCCACCAAUAUGGAAAGAGACAUCAGGACCAACAGCUACUGGAUUUAGCAAUGCAACAAUCACUGCCGACCUGAACACAAGCUGUCUGUUUACACAGUGCAUCCGCAGAGAUGGGAAAAGGAGCCAUAGGAGGCAGGAAAAGUACUUUCAGGGUGUUCUUCUCUAAAGGAUAGGAGAAAAUGAGGUACUAGCUGUGACAGUGGGGUUGACAUAGGUAUUUGUUUGUAUAAGAUGACGUGUCGUUUUUGCAAUGGGAAUUGUGACAGUUGGUCUUGCUUGUCAACUUGCUCAGAUUA